Molecule: ribosomal RNA, 497 nt
Filed under: uncultured bacterium
Lineage: Bacteria
Description: partial 16S ribosomal RNA
Rfam family: Bacterial small subunit ribosomal RNA
Source: RNAcentral
AGUGAACGCUGGCGGCAGGCCUAAUACAUGCAAGUCGAACGAAAGCACGAAAAGCGUUCUUCCCUAAUGUUAGCGGCUGACGGGGGAGUAACAAGUGGAUAACACUCCUCUAAUACGGGGGUAAAUUCGUGAAACCGUUACCAAUACCCGCUAAUAUUUUCAACAGCAAAGAUCAAGAGUGAAAGACGUCUUUCCUGUCACUUAUAGCAGAUGCCGGGCUCGAUUAGCUAGGUGGUAAGGUAACGGCUUACCAAGGCAACGAUGCAUAUCAGACCUGAGAGGAUGAGCGGCCACACUGGAACUGAGACACGUUCCAGACUCCUACGGGAGGCAGCAGUAGGGAAUCUUGCACAAUGGGCGCAAGCCUGAUGCAGCCACGCCGCGUGAGUGAAGAAGGUCUUCGGAUCGUAAAACUCUUUUAUUAGGGAAGAAAAUAUGCGUAUGUAUAUCUGCCCAUAUUGACGGUACCCAAAGAGAAAGCACCGGCUAACUCCGUG